UGCCGAGGUUUUCCUUGGUAGUUUACUGCCGAAGUUCUCCUCGAUAGUUAACUGCCGAGGGACAU
Molecule: microRNA precursor, 65 nt
Filed under: Medicago truncatula (barrel medic)
Lineage: Eukaryota; Viridiplantae; Streptophyta; Magnoliopsida; Fabales; Fabaceae
Description: MIR2629 microRNA precursor family
Rfam family: MIR2629 microRNA precursor family
Source: Rfam by way of RNAcentral